RNAcentral lists this ribosomal RNA (253 nucleotides) under uncultured bacterium. RNAcentral's name for it is "partial 16S ribosomal RNA". It matches the Rfam family "Bacterial small subunit ribosomal RNA", at positions 524 to 776 of the family's 1533-position model. The record is from RNAcentral.
UACGUAGGGGGCAAGCGUUGUCCGGAAUCAUUGGGCGUAAAGAGCGCGUAGGCGGUCCGGUAAGUCGGUUGUGAAAACUGGGGGCUCAACCCUCAGAGGCCGACCGAUACUGCCGGGCUAGAGUCCGGAAGAGGCGAGUGGAAUUCCUGGUGUAGCGGUGAAAUGCGCAGAUAUCAGGAGGAACACCAAUGGCGAAGGCAGCUCGCUGGGACGGUACUGACGCUGAGGCGCGAAAGCGUGGGGAGCAAACAGU